Long non-coding RNA from Papaver somniferum (opium poppy), 2027 nucleotides. RefSeq lists it as uncharacterized. The record is from RefSeq and is a predicted model, not a curated record. Lineage: Eukaryota; Viridiplantae; Streptophyta; Magnoliopsida; Ranunculales; Papaveraceae. The transcript is spliced from 4 exons.
ACAAAACUUUCACCAAUAUUUAACGCCAUUAAUUCCCACCAAAAAUUUCAUGAAAAAUCAAACACUAGGCCGAAGGAGUUAUAAUAAUUAGCCAGCUACUAAUUAGCCGUGUCCUGUAGUUCGGUAAUGGACCUCUUCGUUUCUUUUCGUUCCAACCCUAACCUUUUUCUUCGCCUUUCUCUUCUCCAUCUUUUGCAUCUCUAAACCAGAAACUGAAAAAUUCAGAAAAUUAAAUCGAAAGUCAAACUCCUUUCCACGAAAUCCAAUCUCUCGAACAAACCCAAGCCAACAGCAACAGUUUGUUUCUCAUUAAACAAACCCCUUACUUCACGUUUGACUCUUGUUCUUCUUCGUUUUUUCUUGUUCAAUUUGUAUUUGAUUAGAUUUAAUGUUCUUGGAAGAUUAUAAGGUUUUCAGGAAAAAAAUCCGAUUUGGGGAAGAUUGUUGUAAAAACUUCAGGGUUUUAAGUGAAAUUGGGGAUUAUUUUUUGAAUCAGCUUUUGUACCAUGAAACAAAAUUGGUUGAUCUAAGCCGAUUCAAGUUGUUCUUUGUGAUUUCAGUAAUGUAGACGGUCUUACCAAGGUAAAAUCGAUUUCUAAAUUCUGUUUAAGUUCCCUUUUAAGCAGUUAACAUUAGAAGUCUUAUUAUUGAUGAAGCUGUUCUUUUUAUGGGUUUCUUUGAUACGGGAUUCUUGAGAUGUUCGUUGAUUUUAAUCCAUUUAAUAGAUCUAUCUCUUUCUAUCUUUGAUCGGAUUUUAGUUUUUCUGGGUCUGUAGUGUUGUUCUGUUUCAAUCUGAGAAAAUUUAGAAUCUAGGGUUUCAAUGGUUUUAUCUAGAAGUUUAUCAAAUUUACAUUGAUGAUUAUCAGAUUCACAUGAUUAUCAGAUUCACAGUUAAGGGUGGAAAGAUGAAACUCAAGGCAAUGCUUACAUCCUAUAUGUCUCAUAUGAUGUAUCAAUUUGGGAGAAUUCCAAACCUUGGCCCCAUCCUUGUUCAGGAUGAUGACAUACAAUCUUUCCCAAGACACGCAAAAAAAGUAGGACCUUAUAUUUUGGUGGAAAUUGGUUACUGUGAUAAUAAAUAAUUUGAGCUUCAUGUGAUUGAUUGUGUUUAAAUGUUUAGUCGUCACCCUUGUGCUUGAAUGUGAGAUUGUAACUGAUACUAAAGUUCAAGAAACUGUAAUUGUACUGAAGCCAAAACAAGAUGCUGGAAUUGCAUCGAAGACAAACAAAUUUUGGGGAGUGAAGUGGGAACCAAACAAAUGUUUGAUUUUUAAGCAAUAAAUCUGUGUAUCUACUGCAGUAUAGGAGUUUCUAACAUGGACCCUGUCAUGGAUAUGGACAGAAAUUUGGAGUACUCCAUUCCUAUAUGAGGUCACUGUUAGUGUUUAUGUUCUAGGGGAGCUACUAAAAAAGAACCUUUGGAGGCUAAUGGAAAUUUCAGCAGUGUGCUUAACAUGGGAUUCCUAGGAUCUUUUGAUCGCAUGGAACAAAACUUCCAUUAUGUGAUGCUAAGCUUAUGUUUGGUCUAUUUUUUGAAGAAUAUUCAAGUGAUGAUAAGCCAGUAGGGAGACAUUAUCCCAGUAAGAUCAGUUGGAUAUAAUUAAAAAAAAAAAUCCUUAGGUGAUUGUUGUAAUUAUGCAUGCUUCUUGAAACUUCGCAGCAACCAAAGGUUUAAAGAUUCUCGGACCGAAAAGAAAUGUUUAUGUACUCGAUAUACACAAUUACAUUUACCAAAGACAUCUGCGCAUAAAGAUGGUGUUAAACACGUCUAAGUGCAACAAACUUGUGGCAGUGAGAUACAUGCACCAUUUAGAGCUACAAAAGACAUGGGAGCUUAAAUUUUCUGGCAGAUGAAUCCAGCACAUUUACCAGAAUAAAUGCUUGAUUUUAAUGAGCGAAAAUGUCUUCUUUACACCUUUCUCUAAGUAAGUUUGCGUAAGUGAAAAUUUGUAACUUAGUUUUUCUGUGCUUAGUGGAACCUAUUUAAUUAAUAUGUUACUUACUUAAAAAUUUCUUGGGUCUUUUCU